ACCACCAUCUAAUUCUCUCUCUCUAAACUCAUAUUUCAUGUCCUUUACUGAUCUCUUGGCCGAUGCUUCUUCUUGGAUAAUUUAUUAGCUAUAUAAGAUGGGAAUAAAGAGAGCAAUGUCAGUAUGUCACUACAAAUAGCUAAGAAUCACGGCUCUGGCAGAAGAUCCUUUAAUAAUAUAAUGGUAGAAAUAGUUCAUCCAUCAAUUGUAUAACUGGCUCUAUUAUUACUUAGAUGAAACAUUCUUACCAAAAAAAAAAAAUAGAUGAAACAUUUAUAUUAGCCUAUAAAAUAGGUAUCAUUCAUUAGUUAAUCAAAGAUGGAAAUUGCUCGCCAAUUACGCAGCAGAACACAACUCAAUUUUGUGAUUAAAUAAAACAACUUAUAUAAUAAACUUCAAGUGCAUAUUAAAUAUUUCCAUGAUGAUGUUGGAAGCUUUAAUAUUUAUUUUUAGGAGAACCACAGAUAGAAACUAAAAACAACACCACCGCACACAUUAGUCGGGAAAAAGGGGGAAAAAAAACCUGAAUCAUCGUCCUUCCGUGUCUUUGUUUUCUAUAGGUGCAAAUAUUACUUGCAUAAAAAAUACCUUUUCGUUGGUACAUAACCAAAACACUGCUACAUCCAUUUGUAAACAUUAUCCAUCCAAUUAUAAUAGUUCUCUAGUCAUUUCCAGGGCAUGCACGCAAUUUUUUGAUAUGCUAAAUGUGCAGAAUAGCCAGUCUGGGUUCCAAGUUAUACAGACGUGACUUCAGAACUCUAUGCCAAACUGCCAAUAUUGACCAAAUACAUAUGAGAAAGCAAGUUAGUUAAACUAAACUAUAAAUUAAGGUCAUAUUAAACAUAGAUGUACAGAUGCAUGUACGAGAAAACAAAGUCAUGCAGAUUGCGUCAAAUUACAACUUAGAUCAAUACAUUUAAUUUUGUGAUAAAAAGGAUCUAUUUCGAGUUACUGCCUGAAUUGAAAUUUUCAAAAUGUUUAUCUCGUGGGUAUCAAGGCCAUUUCGGGUGUUUUAAAUGCCCAACCAAGCACUGCCGCUUAGAACUAGAGGCAUCAGACAUGCACCUACCACGCAUAAAACAUUUAUCAGACUUGCACCUACCACGCAUAAAAUUAUUAAACAUCCAAGCUCGAUCUCACCUGAACUUAUUGAUAAUGAAUGCUGCUCCAAGCAUCACUCUAUUCCCCACUCAGAGCAUCGGACCCUGUGGCACUCCUGGAUUGGUUAGUAUACAGAGCCACGUGGAUGACAAGCAGGACCGAUAUACCACCCCAUCCAUCAGCGUGCGGCAGGAUUGGAGCGGGGAAUAGAGGAAAACAUCGUGAUCCAACUAUUGUACGAUGAGUCCAAAACAGGCCAUCAUGGGUCUGAAUGAUUGGCUGCUGCAUGCUCCGAGCUUUAUGUUUUCCU
RNAcentral lists this long non-coding RNA (1411 nucleotides) under Elaeis guineensis (African oil palm). Its description in RNAcentral is "long non-coding RNA (EGUI_LNC030856)". The record is from RNAcentral. Lineage: Eukaryota; Viridiplantae; Streptophyta; Magnoliopsida; Arecales; Arecaceae.